CCUUUUUUUUUUUCCUUCUUCUUCAGACUCCUCGACAAAUUUUGAUAGGGGUAUAUAUUUAGAACCAGAGAUGUUAGAGCAGUUACUGAUAUUCACUAGAGGGGGCUUGAUCCUCUGGACGUGUAAGGAGCUUGGAAAUGCUCUUAGAGGUUCUCCAAUUGACACAUUGAUUCGUUCAUGUCUUUUGGAGGAACGUUCAGGUGCCGCUUCAUUUAACUAUGAUGUACCAGGAGCUGCAUACACUCUUAAAUGGACGUUUCACAAUGAUCUGGGGCUUGUGUUUGUUGCUGUGUAUCAGAAAAUUCUUCAUCUAUUGUAUGUGGAUGAAUUGCUUUCUAUGGUUAAGCAGGAAUUCUCAGAGAUUUAUGACCCAAAAAGAACUGUCUACAAUGAAUUUGACAAUGUAUUUCAGCAGCUUAGGAAGGAGGCCGAGGCACGUGCUGAGGAAAUGAAGAAAUCGAAGCAGGUGAGCAAGCCUGUAAACCAUAAUCUUGGUAAGAAGCAAGGACAAGUGCAGAAGGGCAUUAUGGAUGGAGGCAAUCAAAAAAAGAGUGGUGCUGAAUCAGGAAAUGAUAGUGGAGAUGGUGAUAAAGUAAAUAGUCGUGCCAUGGAAAAUGGCAAUGGGCGUUCUAAAGUUAGUAAGGGAAAUGGAGUAGUGCAGGCUAACGGUAAAGAGAACAGAAGUUCUGAUUCUGGGGCUUUUGAUGUAAAUAAGCUACAGAAGCUUAGGGCUAAAGGUGGAAAGAAAACCGAUACCAUUGUAAAGGAUUCCAAGGCAGAGCCUACAAAAAAGGCAAAGAAGAACAGAGUCUGGGAUGAUUCACCUAAGGAGUCGAAAUUGGAUUUCACGGAUCCUAUGUGUGAGAAUGCAAAUGGAAAUACAGCAGUUGUAGAAGCAGUUCAAGGUGAGAGUAUGAUGGACAAAGAGGAGAUUGUGAGUAGUGAUAGUGAGACUGAGGAGGAUGAAGAGCCAGGGAAAGACAGCAAGGUCGAGGCAAAGAAGAAAGGUUGGUUCUCAUCCAUGUUCCAGAGUAUCGCAGGAAAGGCAAAUUUGGACAAAGCUGACUUAGAGCCAGCUUUAAAAGCUCUUAAGGACAGGCUGAUGACCAAGAAUGUGGCCGAAGAAAUUGCUGAAAAGCUUUGUGAAUCAGUGGCAGCAAGUUUGGAGGGUAAAAAGCUUGGCUCAUUUACAAGAAUUUCUUCAACAGUUCAGGCAGCAAUGGAGGAGGCCCUUGUUCGGAUCUUAACUCCUAAACGUUCCAUUGAUAUCUUGAGGGAUGUUCAUGCCGCAAAGGAACAGGGGAAACCAUAUGUUGUGGUUUUCGUAGGAGUAAAUGGGGUUGGAAAGUCUACCAAUCUUGCGAAGGUUGCUUAUUGGCUUCAGCAGCACAAGGUCAAUGUUAUGAUGGCUGCGUGUGACACAUUUCGAUCUGGAGCUGUAGAGCAGCUCCGUACUCAUGCUCGAAGACUUCAGGUCCCCAUAUUUGAGAAGGGCUAUGAGAAGGAUCCUGCUAUUGUUGCCAAGGAAGCAAUCC
RNAcentral lists this unclassified non-coding RNA (1535 nucleotides) under Hevea brasiliensis (rubber tree). Lineage: Eukaryota; Viridiplantae; Streptophyta; Magnoliopsida; Malpighiales; Euphorbiaceae. The record is from RNAcentral.